GCCUCCAAAAAAUCUCUGUUGCUGAAACUGCCAGCAUCAUAUUCCGGAUCUGAAAAGUAAGCCUCCGGGCACCGGCACUGAAUACCAUACCUCCGGCAGAACGGAAGCCACGACCUCGCAAACACCCACGCCUCCUGAACCGCGAAAUAAGUCAAGGGAGAAGCCCCGUCGUCGGAGAGAUACACCGAUAGCUUGUCCGGCGGGUAAUCGAGCGCCAUGGCUGACAGAACAGUGUUCAUGACCCCCAGCGGCGGCUCCUUCCUCGGAUCCGCAGUGACCACGAAAACGUCGAUGGCCGGCAGCUUUUCGUCAGCCGGUAAUCUCUCAGGGAAGACGACCCGGGAAAUGGGAAGCCAUAGAAAAGCUUGGUUGAGGAGCCAGAGGAUGGAGAGAAGCAGCUCAGAAGCAAAGAUCAAAAGCUCCGAAACAGGUGCUCUGUUUUGAGAGGUUGAUCUGUUUGUGGCAGAGGAGAGCAGAGAAGAUGCUCUGUAAUAUAUGAAGGAGGCUAAGGCUAUGGAGUGAAUAAGGGCGUGUAAUCUGUUGGCUAUGGCUGCCGAUCUGAUGGGCUUGGAGAGAUUUAAAGGGAGAGAAUCCAUUGCAGCAGACUGCAGAGCACGACUGGAUGUGCCACUCCUACCCACCUUUUAAGGAAGCAGACUGUCCAUGUGAAGACCUGCAUGAAGUAAAUGUGGAGCAAGCCGCCCAUGCCCAUGCCAUCCCCUGCAUACCCAUGUGAAGACCUGCACGCUACCAAUACCAUGUGAUUUCCUGUUGCGCAUCCCAUAUGAAGACCUACAACCCAUGACAAAUACAACAAGUCAUACGUGAAGCCAUACCACCCAUGUGAAUGUUGUCAGUCGUCUAGCUGCCUCACAGCGCACAUCCGUAUUUUGUUCAUCUAGCAUUAUACCUAAAUGCCUUUAAAAGGGCAUGUUUGCGGUUCAAGGAUAUAACCCCGAAGCAGCUCCAAUUUUUUGUAGUUUCUUCUAUUAUAAUUAGAGAGAUUUGUAUACUCCUAAUUCAAGAAAAAUGUAUCAUUGUUCUCUUCUUAUAAUUAGAAAGAAGUUGUAUUAUCCCUUAUUUAUAGUGGAUUCCUUUUAGCC
Molecule: long non-coding RNA, 1103 nt
Organism: Malania oleifera
Lineage: Eukaryota; Viridiplantae; Streptophyta; Magnoliopsida; Santalales; Ximeniaceae
Exons: 2
Source: RefSeq, a predicted model, not a curated record